This is a long non-coding RNA of Lacerta agilis (Sand lizard), 1148 nucleotides long. RefSeq lists it as uncharacterized. NCBI's taxonomy places the organism in Eukaryota, Metazoa, Chordata, Lepidosauria, Squamata, Lacertidae. The transcript is spliced from 2 exons. The record is from RefSeq and is a predicted model, not a curated record.
CACCUGCACCUUCCAAGAAUUUGGUCGUACUACGAUGACACAUCAGAUGACAUCCAUGAAAUUGCCUCAUGUUUCUUUGAUGUGGCCAGAUACUUUCAAGUUACCUUUAUUAUGAGGACUAGAAACAUUUCUGUAGUGAGAACUCACAUUCUUGGACAAAAGCUGGAAAAGAGCUGGAAACUAAAGUAAGUUUUCCAUUGUCAAUGAAUAUGCUUCCGGAACAAAUUUGUAUAGUCUUUGGCUUCAAGCGUCCAAAAUUUUCCAGAAGCAAAGGGUAGUGUUUACUGUGUUUUCUAUACGAGAUGGAAAGCAAAUGUCCAUGUUGCUUGGUUGAUAGUCAUAAUACUGAAAACUUUAAACACAUUACAGAGCUCGUUUAACUGGAAUACAUAAAAUAAGGGUACUAAAUCACCACAUGAACUCCAAAUAAUGUUGUGUGAUACACAAUGGUAUCUCCUGGAUUUUAGCACCUAUGAUGAAAUACUAGUCCCUGGAUCCAGGAAGAAGUAUGCUUUAAUAAAUAUAAGACAUAACAUGGUUAUUUCCAGAAGGCCAUAUACUUCUCAGGACCAGGUUACUAUAUUCCUUAUACACCCAGUAGAUCACAAUGGUCUGUAGGAGAGUUUCUCCUCCCAGUUUCAAAGAUUUCAGAAGCGCACUCUGCAGUAACUCAAGAGCAGGGCUUUUAGUGUGGCUGCUCCUGUUCUGUAGAAUAGCAUUCCUGUCAAGAUAGGUAGGACAAGCACUAUUUGCCCUUUCUGGGAAAGAUUGAAAAAUACAUUUUUGUUCUGAUAGGCUUUCCCAGCUGGAUAAAUGGGUAUUUACCCUGACUGUCCACUUGUUAAGAGAUUUAGUCUUAUUUUAAUUGUACUUGUUUUUGUGUUUUUAACUUUUUAAUUAUGUAUAAAUUGCCUUGAAACAGUGGUUUACAAGGUGAUUAUACUGAUAAUACUAAUAAUCCUCUGUACACUACUUUGCUUGGUGUUUGUUUUUAUUUCUGCUGACUGCUUAUAUGCUGCUCUGCUGUAUCAUGAUGUAGGAAUGUUUUUGUUUUAAUAGUCUUACUGUGAUUAUUUAAUCUUUCUGUAAGUUGCCCAGGUAAGCUGUUAAAGGAUGGGUGUAAAUCAAAUAAAUACAAUGCAAUACAA